This is a long non-coding RNA of Raphanus sativus (radish), 542 nucleotides long. RefSeq lists it as uncharacterized. The transcript has 2 exons. The record is from RefSeq and is a predicted model, not a curated record. Lineage: Eukaryota; Viridiplantae; Streptophyta; Magnoliopsida; Brassicales; Brassicaceae.
UGGAAAUCCAGCACUUACCUAGAUAAGAUGGCGAGGUACCAAGAGACGAUCCAGGAGCUUAUCUUAUAGCAGUUUUAUAAGAUAAGUUCACUAUCAAAUUUAAUAGUAUUCUGACAUGUGAAUAUGUGAUGUUGGAAUCCAGAUGGUGGUGAAGAAAAUAAACUUCUCAUUAAUAACUUUCGUUGGACUCGAUAUGAAGGAAUAUCAAAUCAGUAGUGGUACUCUACGGUCCAAGUGGCGCAUUGACCUCUUCAAAGGUAGUUCUAGGCUAGAGAAGAUGCAACUGAUUUUGAGUGAAUCCCAAGGUGCAACGAAUGUUUAACUACGGCUUCUGUCUUGAAGACUUUGAUGAUUGUAGUAGGCUUCUUUAACAUGCACUUUUAUUUAACUACUUUGUUGUCAUGUGUUGGCACUACUGUGUUGUUGUUUUUAUGAUCAAAAGCCAUCUGUUUUAACAUUCGAAAGUUCUGCUGGAUUAAAAACAACUCUGUUGGGAAGAUUUCUAUAUACUUUUCUAGUGUUUCAAAAAUAUGUUUAUCUCA